GAUGAACGCUGGCGGCGUGCCUAAUACAUGCAAGUCGAGCGAACAGACGAGGAGCUUGCUCCUCUGACGUUAGCGGCGGACGGGUGAGUAACACGUGGAUAACCUACCUAUAAGACUGGGAUAACUUCGGGAAACCGGAGCUAAUACCGGGUAAUAUAUUGAACCGCAUGGUUCAAUAGUGAAAGACGGUUUUGCUGUCACUUAUCGAUGGAUCCGCGCCGCAUUAGCUAGUUGGUAAGGUAACGGCUUACCAAGGCGACGAUGCGUAGCCGACCUGAGAGGGUGAUCGGCCACACUGGAACUGAGACACGGUCCAGACUCCUACGGGAGGCAGCAGUAGGGAAUCUUCCGCAAAGGGCGAAAGCCUGACGGAGCGACGCCGCGUGAGUGAUGAAGGUCUUCGGAUCGUAAAACUCUGUUAUUAGGGAAGAACAAAUGUGUAAGUAACUAUGCACGUCUUGACGGUACCUAAUCAGAAAGCCACGGCUAACUACGUG
Molecule: ribosomal RNA, 497 nt
Filed under: uncultured bacterium
Lineage: Bacteria
Description: partial 16S ribosomal RNA
Rfam family: Bacterial small subunit ribosomal RNA
Source: RNAcentral